This 394-nucleotide ribosomal RNA is filed under the name uncultured eukaryote. RNAcentral's name for it is "SSU rRNA". It matches the Rfam family "Eukaryotic small subunit ribosomal RNA", at positions 587 to 972 of the family's 1831-position model. The record is from RNAcentral.
AGCUCCAAUAGCGUAUAUUAAAGUUGUUGUGGUUAAAAAGCUCGUAGUUGGAUCUCAGGUGCAGGCGGGCGGUCCGGCUCGCGCCGGUUCACUGCCCGUAUUUCCUGCCCUACCGUCUGUCGGCUCUCUCCCGCGGGUGCUCUUCGCUGAGCGUCCCGGGUGGCCGGCGCGUUUACUUUGAAAAAAUUAGAGUGUUCAAAGCAGGCCUCGGCUGCCUGAAUAAUGGUGCAUGGAAUAAUGGAAUAGGACCUCGGUUCUAUUUUGUUGGUUUUCGGAACUGGAGGUAAUGAUUAACAGGGACAAACGGGGGCAUUCGUAUUGCGGCGUUAGAGGUGAAAUUCUUGGAUCGCCGCAAGACGAGCUACUGCGAAAGCAUUUGUCAAGAAUGUUUUCA